This is a small nucleolar RNA of Vitis vinifera (wine grape), 91 nucleotides long. It matches the Rfam family "Small nucleolar RNA snR60/Z15/Z230/Z193/J17". Rfam says of the family: The members of this family belong to the C/D class of snoRNAs which contain the C (UGAUGA) and D (CUGA) box motifs. Most of the members of the box C/D family function in directing site-specific 2'-O-methylation of substrate RNAs. The record is from Rfam. NCBI's taxonomy places the organism in Eukaryota, Viridiplantae, Streptophyta, Magnoliopsida, Vitales, Vitaceae.
AGGGAUCUCAAAUGAUGAACAGAAGCAUAGUUCAAAUGAUAAUCUUUGUGAUUAGAAAUUGAAUGUCUUUCGCUCCUAUCUGAUGAUCCUC